UUCAAAAAUUUUUUCUUUCUUCUUUAUUAAUUUCUUCCAUAUGUUUAUGGGCGAUAAUGUGUAUUACCAAUCUAGGAAUAUGUCAUUCAAGUUACUCCCUUCAUUUGUUCUUGUGAUGUGUUGUCGUAUUUAGUAAUGAAGAUUGUCUGUUAAUGAGUUGUUGUGUGUGUAAGGAGCUAACUGCAUCCAAGCUUGAAGAAUUCAAAUCCUGAAAGGUAUUUUCUGCCUUCACUUCAAUAAUUGAAAAUGAUUAAAGAUCACACUAAAAGCUGUAAGGAUUGUAAAUCAGAGGAAAAAGAUGUGAAAGGAGAUAAACAGGGAAUUGAAGGAAGGAGAGAAAAUGAAUCAAAUAGUGAUUAUAGCAGCAACAACUCCGGUGAUAAUGAACCGCUUUUGGAUGAUUAUGUGAAUAUUCCCGAUAAUACAAGAGAAAAUGGUUUUGUUCGUCCAACUACAGCUUAUCGGUUUCUAGAUGACGUCCGCGACAAUAAGUGGCUUCUCCUUAUCUUCCUUAUCUUUUUUAUUCUACUCCUACUUCUGAUAGCAGAUUGCUUAUAUAACGACAUGAAGAAAGUUAAGGGAACCGAACAUUUCUAGAAGCUUUGAUCCUAAAAAUAUUUUCUAGUUAGGAAUUUGAAGAUGUUUCAAAAUGUUAUGUCCAUAUUUGUUAUUUUAUUCGAAAUGUGGUUUUAAAGUAUUAAUUGAAAAUAUUUUGAUGUUAUGUGUAGAUAAUUCUUUUUAUAAAAUUUAUGGGAGCUAUACAUCUUUAAUGGAAGGGUUGGUUACGAAAGAAAACGCUGAAUAUGAAAAUUAUUUUCAUCAUUAGUAUUAUAAACUAUUGUAAGAUAAUAAUACCUUUUGAUCACUGAGCCAAUUAAUUUGUUUAAUGUUUAGUUGAAGUUUUUGGAACUUUUACCUAUACAUAUUUGAGAAAAGAUUAAAGAUUUGAAUUUAUUAUCGACACCAUAUCAUUAAUUUCUGAUUAUCCAGAAAUGACAUAUUCAUUGAAAAAUUAUGUCAUAUAAUACGAAUUUUUUGUAUAAUAAAAUUUGUUUUCUUUCA
Molecule: RNA transcript, 1062 nt
Organism: Harmonia axyridis
Lineage: Eukaryota; Metazoa; Arthropoda; Insecta; Coleoptera; Coccinellidae
Exons: 3
Source: RefSeq, a predicted model, not a curated record